This 1347-nucleotide ribosomal RNA is filed under the name Triticum aestivum (bread wheat). RNAcentral's name for it is "partial small subunit ribosomal RNA". Lineage: Eukaryota; Viridiplantae; Streptophyta; Magnoliopsida; Poales; Poaceae. The record is from RNAcentral.
GGCGGCGGCCUGGACCUCAUCAGCGCCCUCCCCGACGACCUGCUCCUCCUCGUCCUCGCCCGCCUCCCCUGCACCGGCGCCGCCGCGCACACCGGGGUCCUCUCCCGCCGGUGGCGCGACCUCUGGCCCCAUCUUCGCCGGAUCAUCUUCCGUGGUAUCCCAUUCGACUCGAUCGAACCGGCGCUCGACCGCGUUUCUCCCGUGGUUUCCCUCCUGGAAAUCCACGCCCGCGCGUCAACUCGCCGCUGGUCGACUGACCGGGUCGACACUGCCCGCGUGAACUCACUGCUGCGCGCCGCCGCAAGGGUGGAGCCGGAGGAGCUCAUCUUCAGUCUCUCGUCGGCCUUCAUCUGCGAUUCCCCAGUCGUCGAUCUGCCCUGCUUCAACCGGGCCACUUCCAUCCAGCUCUGCCUUUUGUCCGCCAUACGCGUGCCGGCCGGCGUCGAGUUUCCGGCGCUGGAGACGCUGUACCUGGCGUGCCGCAUUGACGCCCUCGACCCCAUGCUCUCCAGCUGCCCGCGCCUGCGCACGCUCUAUCUCAGCAGCACUGAGUUGAAGGGAGACUACCUGAGGGUCAACUCGGCGUCGUUACUAGAGCUUGUCGUGGACAGCAGAUUGACACGCAAUGUCAACAUUAUUGCCCCCCUGCUUAAGCAGUUGACCAUGUCCUUCAACGCCUCGAAGCUCAGCAGCACCUCCAUCUUGGCAUCAAUGAUGGAGAAGGUAUCUUGGAAAUGCUGCUAUAUGAAUGGGGGGCGAUUUUUUGCCCCUCCUGAGAGGCCAACGGCUGAAGAUGCCCUUACAUAUGGUCUUUGGCUACUUGAGCAGGUGACGCUACAGACGGCAGAGAGACAAGGACAGCUCCCCUCGCUGCAUGUUCGUGCCCACUGCGACUUUUCUGUUUAUCAGGAUGAGGCAGAUAACUUUAAGCAGGAGAUAGAGAAGCAUUUGGUUGCUGCCUUCUCUGUUUUGGAACUAAAUCUCACGACAGAGGGGCAUGUUUUUGGGUCAUUGGUAUUUGAGCUCUUUGGGAUAGAUCGAAUUCGUACUGAUGUGUGGAGGCUUAAGGUUGUCCUAUCAAGAAAGAUCGAGGAAGGAUGCCUACCAGAUUAUUGUCCUUGCGAGGCCACAGAUUGGAGAUCCCAAACUAUCUCCUUGACUGCUCUCGAAGAAGUGGAGAUCAAUGGCUUCGAAGGAGAGGAUCAUGACUUUGAUUUUUUGAAACUGAUAGUCAGAUGUGCCCCAUUGCUUAAUAGAAUGAUUGUGAAGUUUUCACGCGAGGCCUCCACAAAUAAUGAUGUGUGCGCAAAGAUAUACAACAUGUUCGGGGCGUAUUCUUCGGUGGAA